Molecule: microRNA precursor, 58 nt
Filed under: Magallana gigas (Pacific oyster)
Lineage: Eukaryota; Metazoa; Mollusca; Bivalvia; Ostreida; Ostreidae
Description: Mgi-Mir-210_pre stem-loop
Source: RNAcentral
AGCUGACGUUCUGUGUACAAUUGUGAAUCGAAUUUAUUGUGCGUGGAACAGCAGCUAA